This 655-nucleotide long non-coding RNA is filed under the name Brachypodium distachyon (stiff brome). RNAcentral describes it as "long non-coding RNA (BDIS_LNC004459)". The record is from RNAcentral. Lineage: Eukaryota; Viridiplantae; Streptophyta; Magnoliopsida; Poales; Poaceae.
UGCCAUAAUCCUAUAUUAUUUAUUUUUCAUAUGCUUUAUUUUUCUCUAAACCGAAUGAACCCUAGAAAAGAAAAGAGAUUCCUACGCGGUGCACACACAUCUUUUAGCUUACGUGGUGCCCCUUCUGACAUACGAAAUUUUUUGACAGAGGCGCAGCUCAGAUGGCAUCCUCGUGAAAUCGCCGCCGCCGUUCGUAUUUCGGUGAUUUGGCUGCGGUGUCAUCGAGGCGCGAAGAACUCGGCUCUGGGGUACGAACAGGUUGGGGGAAAGUUGAAGAGGUAAUUGAAUAAUUUUUUUCUUGUCAGUUACUCGUCACUGUGUUACCAGGAACCUACGUGUAAAUUGUUACACCCAAAGUAUUUUUUUUUUGUGAAAUUCCCACAACCCGACGAACUCCACAUAACUACCGUGUGUCCAAUCCAGACUAAAUUGUACUCCUUUUGAUACAUAAAAAAUAUCGGUAGUUUUAUACUGAGUAAAAAAAAAUUGUACUAAGUGUGGCCACACUUUUUAUGAUGGAUCGGAGGGAGUACUACUUUACACAUCAUCUCAAGUUUUAGGACUAGUCUAUCCUAGUAUUACGCAAAUAGUUUGACUAAAAUGUUUGCGCCUCUUAAGUACUCGCUCCGUCUCAUAUUAAGUGACAAUAUAUUAC